GGGUCAUGUAGUGUAAAUGGAUAACACACCACUUUUGCAAAGUGGAGUUGGGGUUCAAGUCCCACAUGUAUCCA
RNAcentral lists this transfer RNA (74 nucleotides) under Kehishuvirus sp. 'tikkala'. RNAcentral describes it as "Kehishuvirus sp. 'winsdale' tRNA-Ala". The stretch from base 5 to 68 matches the Rfam family "tRNA". Rfam says of the family: Transfer RNA (tRNA) molecules are approximately 80 nucleotides in length. Their secondary structure includes four short double-helical elements and three loops (D, anti-codon, and T loops). Further hydrogen bonds mediate the characteristic L-shaped molecular structure. tRNAs have two regions of fundamental functional importance: the anti-codon, which is responsible for specific mRNA codon recognition, and the 3' end, to which the tRNAs corresponding amino acid is attached (by aminoacyl-tRNA synthetases). tRNAs cope with the degeneracy of the genetic code in two manners: having more than one tRNA (with a specific anti-codon) for a particular amino acid; and 'wobble' base-pairing, i.e. permitting non-standard base-pairing at the 3rd anti-codon position. The record is from RNAcentral. Lineage: Duplodnaviria; Heunggongvirae; Uroviricota; Caudoviricetes; Crassvirales; Steigviridae.